UACGGAGGGUGCGAGCGUUAAUCGGAAUUACUGGGCGUAAAGCGCGCGUAGGUGGUUUGAUAAGCUAGCUGUGAAAGCCCCGGGCUCAACCUGGGAACUGCAGUUAGAACUGUCUGGCUAGAGUAUAGUAGAGGGUGGCGGAAUUUCCUGUGUAGCGGUGAAAUGCGUAGAUAUAGGAAGGAACAUCAGUGGCGAAGGCGGCCACCUGGACUAAUACUGACACUGAGGUGCGAAAG
Molecule: ribosomal RNA, 236 nt
Filed under: uncultured bacterium
Lineage: Bacteria
Description: partial 16S ribosomal RNA
Rfam family: Bacterial small subunit ribosomal RNA
Source: RNAcentral